CGGGGUGAGUAAUGUAUGGGGAUCUGCCUGAUGGAGGGGGAUAACUACUGGAAACGGUAGCUAAUACCGCAUAACGUCGCAAGACCAAAGAGGGGGACCUUCGGGCCUCUUGCCAUCGGAUGUGCCCAGAUGGGAUUAGCUAGUAGGUGGGGUAACGGCUCACCUAGGCGACGAUCCCUAGCUGGUCUGAGAGGAUGACCAGCCACACUGGAACUGAGACACGGUCCAG
This 229-nucleotide ribosomal RNA is filed under the name uncultured bacterium. RNAcentral's name for it is "partial 16S ribosomal RNA". It matches the Rfam family "Bacterial small subunit ribosomal RNA", at positions 104 to 334 of the family's 1533-position model. The record is from RNAcentral.